Molecule: ribosomal RNA, 582 nt
Filed under: uncultured bacterium
Lineage: Bacteria
Description: bacterial SSU rRNA
Rfam family: Bacterial small subunit ribosomal RNA
Source: RNAcentral
ACGGGUGAGUAAUGUCUGGGAAACUGCCUGAUGGAGGGGGAUAACUACUGGAAACGGUAGCUAAUACCGCAUAACGUCGCAAGACCAAAGAGGGGGACCUUCGGGCCUCUUGCCAUCAGAUGUGCCCAGAUGGGAUUAGCUAGUAGGUGGGGUAACGGCUCACCUAGGCGACGAUCCCUAGCUGGUCUGAGAGGAUGACCAGCCACACUGGAACUGAGACACGGUCCAGACUCCUACGGGAGGCAGCAGUGGGGAAUAUUGCACAAUGGGCGCAAGCCUGAUGCAGCCAUGCCGCGUGUAUGAAGAAGGCCUUCGGGUUGUAAAGUACUUUCAGCGGGGAGGAAGGUGUUGUGGUUAAUAACCACAGCAAUUGACGUUACCCGCAGAAGAAGCACCGGCUAACUCCGUGCCAGCAGCCGCGGUAAUACGGAGGGUGCAAGCGUUAAUCGGAAUUACUGGGCGUAAAGCGCACGCAGGCGGUCUGUCAAGUCGGAUGUGAAAUCCCCGGGCUCAACCUGGGAACUGCAUUCGAAACUGGCAGGCUAGAGUCUUGUGGAGGGGGGUAGAAUUCCAGGUGUAGCG